RNAcentral lists this ribosomal RNA (1279 nucleotides) under metagenome. RNAcentral describes it as "bacterial SSU rRNA". It matches the Rfam family "Bacterial small subunit ribosomal RNA", at positions 188 to 1494 of the family's 1533-position model. The record is from RNAcentral.
AAUCUAGUUACUAGUAAAGCUUUUGCGGUUCGGGAGUGGCCUGCGGCCUAUCAGCUUGUUGGUGAGGUAAUGGCUCACCAAGGCUAUGACGGGUAUCUGGUGUGAGAGCACGACCAGACAGAAUGGGACUGAGACACGGCCCAUACUCCUACGGGAGGCAGCAGUGAGGAAUUUUCCGCAAUGGGCGAAAGCCUGACGGAGCAAUCCCGCGUGCAGGAUGACACCUUUCGGGGCGUAAACUGCUUUUAUGAGGGAAGAAAUUUUGACGGUACCUCAUGAAUAAGGGGCGGCUAACUACGUGCCAGCAGCCGCGGUAAUACGUAGGCCCCAAGCGUUAUCCGGAAUUACUGGGCGUAAAGCGAUCGAAGGCGGCGGAACAAGUUUGGUGUUAAAGCCCUCGGCUCAACCGAGGAAUCGUGCCGAAAACUGUUCUGCUAGAGGAAUGCAGGGGCAAGUGGAAUUUCUACUGUAGGGGUUAAAUCCGUAGAUAAUAGAAGGAACACCAAAAGCGAAGGCAGCUUGCUGGGCAUUUCCUGACGCUGCGCGAUCGAAAGCGUGGGGAGCGAAACGGAUUAGAUACCCGUGUAGUCCACGCCCUAAACGAUGAACACUCGGUGUGGGAGGGUUUCAAUCCCCUUCCGUGCCUAAGCUAACGCGUUAAGUGUUCCGCCUGGGGAGUACGGCCGCAAGGUUAAAACUCAAAGGAAUAGACGGGGAUCUACACAAGCGGUGGAGCAUCUGGUUCAAUUCGAUAAUAAGCGGGGAACCUUACCGGGGCUUGACAUCCUCAGAAUCUCUACGAAAGUAGGGAGUGCCUUUAUGGAACUGAGUGACAGGUGCUGCAUGGUUGUCGUCAGCUCGUGCCUUGAGGUGUUCGGUUAAGUCCGUUAACGAGCGCAACCCUCAUCGUAUGUUGUUUUUCUCAUGCGAGACUGCCGGUUUCAGACCGGAGGAAGGUGAGGAUGACGUCAAAUCAGCAUGGCCCUUAUGUCCCGGGCUACACAGGUGCUACAAUGGCCAGUACAAUGCGCAGCCAAACCGUAAGGUGGAGCAAAUCGCAUCAAAACUGGUCCCAGUUCGGAUUGAGGGCUGCAACUCGCCCUCAUGAAGUUGGAAUCGCUAGUAAUCGCGCAUCAGCAAUGGCGCGGUGAAUAUGUUCCUAGAUCUUGUACUCACCGCCCGUCAAAUCACGAAAGAUAGGGGCGCCCGAAGGGGUGUUAUCUGCUUUUAGCGGAGCAUCACCACGGUGAAACUAUUGAUUGGGAUUAAGUCGUAACAA